AUGGUAGCCUUUGCCACAAAGCCAAAAGGGUAAACCAGGGUUGGUGACAGAUGGAGCUAGACAGGUGAAAAUGCUGCCGAAAAGAAGUAACGAUGGUGCUGACACAAAAACUGGAGAAAAAUAAUCCUCCAACCAGAUUAGAUCUGCUGGAAGAUUCACAAAAUACGAAGCUGUGCACAGGAUUUUGGAGGGGGGCUGUAGACAACAGCAUCUGCAGGCAGUUGAAUUGGACAGGGCUGGGCUGCGAGAGAGCCUUGAAGGCAUUACACAGAUCAAGGGCAUCCUGCAAUAGAAGCCAUCCUCAGGAGCAGGCCUACCUCCAUGUCAACAGAAACUGAGAUACAGAAAGAAGUGGCCCAUUUCUUCAAGGGUGCUGCAGACUGAUGCAGAGGACAAAAAGAAAGACCUGAGCAUAUGCUGCUGCAACUGCUCCCCGCUCCAUGUGUAAGCAUAAAAUGAACGCUUUGGCAGAAGAUUCACAGGACCUUUCAUAAGUGUAACACUUCUGGAACUUUUAUUAUAUUGUAACACGUUGGUGGCAUAACACGGCAUUUGAUGGGAACUUUGACCAGUAUUCUCUUAGACAGACUUUUGGAACUGAGGGACGUUUCAGUUCAUUGGACUCAAGGACCAUGAAAUCCAUUGGCUUGCCAGCAUUUGUUUGCAUAAAAUGUCUUGCCAUUAGUUCUCCAUGAAAUCCUCUUGAAGGAAAAUUGAUCCAAAUUAUUCAAUGUUGUGUUUUAGACUAACAAAAUUAUCAGUUGGUUUUAAAGUACCGGUAUUUAAACGUAAUAACUGCUUUGAUAAUGUUUAUAAUUGUUAAGUAAUGGCUUGCGUAUUCCUUAAACUUUAUCACAUUAGUAUCAAGUAAUAUCCCAAAAUGAAUGAAGCACUGCCAAAUUGAAUACCAUCAUUUUCUUGUAAUGCUGUGGUACAGGUGAAUAUUAGUUGAAAUGUUGGUAUGUAUUUUGAUAACAUUACCGUUUAUAUGUCACUUUUUGCCUUUACUGUUGGGUCAUUUAAUGAAGAUGUAAAAUGAUGAUUACAGUCCUUGGUUCAGCUUUGACCACGUAAUCACCUAAAGAAUCUGAAUGGUUGAUGUAUAAUUCAAAAGAAAGGCACUCAAAAUUUGCAUACUGCUGCACAUUCAUUUUUGUUAGCACUUAUCGUCCCGUGUUAAAUCAUUCCAUAAUGGGUUCCAUUUUUCUUGUAUAAGUUACAACUUAUACUAUAUUGAAUUAAAAGUGGCGCUCCAGUGGCCCUCUGACAGCAGCCGAUGGCUAAGCGCUGUUGGACCGACGCCGAGCCGGCCACUGGUGGUCCGCUGGCGACAGCCGCCAAUGGCCCGAUGACUUUGCCGUCAGUGGGCUUCUUGUGGACUGCAACCAUGUUGCUGACUGGGCUCGCACAAAUUUGUCAGGUAAAUGUCUACGGUGCACUCCAUUUCAAGCAGAAGUAGAAACUAGAUCAGAAUGCUAUUUGUUUUUAUCACAGGAGGUAACUAGUUCAACUUUUAAUCUGGGAUAAGAAGUCAAAGAAUACACUGUGAUUAAGAUUUUUUGACUUAAAACGAAAUGAAAAUAUAUCCAAUACAUAGAUGGGUCUACUGAAUUGUGGACAAAAAUGUCUAAAAACAGUUAUGCAAAAGUUAUGAAAAGCAGUUUGGUGAUAAAAUGAAAAGCAAUCAUUUUUCUGACUUCAUUUACAAUGGCUAACUUCCCUUGUAGCUUUUUAAGAUCUGCUUUGAACAUUUGUUCUCCUUGAAAAAAUGUCCAACAAAUCCUCUUAAAUAAAAAACAAGACAUCUGAAUCAAACGCGCCCUUCGUUUUUGCAGGCUGCAUAGAAAACAGAGUUUGACAUAUAAAAUCACAGAAAAGUGAAUAGUGAUCCAUGUAAAAUUUAAGGACUGUGAAUAUCUAUGGCAAAACAGGACAUCUGUGCUAAUUCGCCAGCAUCUGAGGUCCAAUGGUACAGAGUAGGUAUUUUAAUACUACUUGUAACUUGGCAAAUACAUGUAUACAGAUGCCGACAUCCCAAGGACAACAUUUGGAAAUAUUUAUAGCCAGGUGAAACACCCCAAGGUCUCAUAUAAUGAUGAGGGUCUGACCAGCCAGAGUGGAACAAACUGACAUGUCUGGGGUGGCCAAUCGGAGGAAAAUGAAGAUAAAUGAGGAGGAGCAGGCUCAGAGACCAUGAAAGAUGAAGUUGGGAUGGGAAGUGGGGGAUGGAGGGAGAUGAAGCAAGGAUUGAAGCUAAAGGGAAGGGCAAGAAACAAGGGAUGGGGGGGAGUUGGGGAUGAACUGCUGCUUCAGGUGUGCGGCAUGGAUGGGGUGGAAAGAAGGUGAGCAAUACAGCUGUGAGGAACAAAAACAAGGAGAUGAAACCAAUCUUAGGGAAGAAAUGGGAGAGGGGGGUGAAAGGGAGAAAGAAAGAACCACAGCAGUGAGAUAUAAGAAAAAGAGGGAAUUUCUAGGGUACUCAAAGAAUGAAAAAGCUAUGGAAUGAUAUAUGAGAGAAAGGGAAAAGAUAAGAUGAAGCAAGGAAUACAGCUGGGGGUGGAGUAAGAAAGAAGGAAAGGAGAUAGAUGUAGCAUGAAAAAUUAGAUGAUAGGAUGUUGGUAUCUAGAGUAAAAUGAUAGCCACAAGAAGAAGCAAAAAUGAGGGGGAGAGGGGGCAAAACUUUGAAAAAAAAAGAUACAGUGCAUAAUGUUGGGCAGGAAUACAAUUUGGGGAAACUGUGGGGGGGGGGAGUUGAAGGAGGAAAGUCCUGAAUUAGAAUCAGUGCGAGCAAACAUGAAUAAUUCAUGAUGGUGUCCAGGAGAACAGGGCAGCAAUGAAGGCUAAAAACUGAUUGGCAUUACAGCUGAUGGGACAGGGAGAUCACUGUUCCACAGUUCCACCGCUCCCCCUGUCUCUCUCCCUCUCUCUAGCUCACUCAUCUACCUGGACUGACAUUCCCCCUAGGGAGGGGAGAUCGAAUUCACACCCUAAUGGCUUCAACGUGGCUACCCGUCUUUAAUAAAACAUCCAUACGGUCAUACGGAUGGCCAGUCAGUGACACUUUACAUUUCUCUUCCCCCCCUCCCUUUUUGGCCAACCUUUUAUAACUCUAUUAUCCAAAUGCAUGUGCUGUGUUUGGAUGCAUGAAUAAUUUGUAGUGUGCCCCCAAGUCUCUUUGACUAUCCCCCCCUUGCUAAGAAAGGUAAAUGUGAGUUUUAUUUUGUCUGUGUAAUAAUGUAUGAACUGAUUUACCUUAACUAUCAUGCAAUAAACAAUGCAGUUAACAACGACCAGUCAGCAUGCAGUGGCAUUCAAUUUGACAUUGCAAGGCAUGAUUGUACAUGUAUUAACACAAGUUCCAUUAGUAGUUGCUAAUAAAUGCAUGUGUACAAAACGUGGUAUCUUUUUUUCCAUUUCAGAUAUCCCCAUCUUUAAUGUCCACUACUACAAUGCCACAUGGGUGUUGAAAAUCUCCUUAAUUCAUAUUUUGUCACGUGUGACCCAAAAAGGAUGCCGGUGUAAAAUUGCAAACGUUCCAGUCCGACAACUUUGUUAUCUGAAUUUACUGCAGAAUGCCCAAUCAAACCAUUUUAUUCUUGGACUGAAUUGACCAAUUUUUCACGGUACAUGUAUUCAUUUUAAUCUAAUUUUUUUCUCUCUUAACAUGUACUAUGCACUGGUUUCACAACGCUGCUUGACACAGCCUUCUGAAAUACACACAUUGGUGCA
RNAcentral lists this long non-coding RNA (3729 nucleotides) under Acanthaster planci (crown-of-thorns starfish). RNAcentral's name for it is "uncharacterized LOC110986603". Lineage: Eukaryota; Metazoa; Echinodermata; Asteroidea; Valvatida; Acanthasteridae. The record is from RNAcentral.